UCCAAUGAUGGCAUGAAUAUCUUUGAGACCUGAUUGUCAAUUUGAUGACAACUACAAGCAUUUUUUCUGAGGAA
RNAcentral lists this small nucleolar RNA (74 nucleotides) under Erythranthe guttata (spotted monkey flower). RNAcentral describes it as "Mimulus guttatus (spotted monkey flower) Small nucleolar RNA R66". It matches the Rfam family "Small nucleolar RNA R66". Rfam says of the family: snoR66 is a C/D box small nucleolar RNA, which acts as a methylation guide for 18S ribosomal RNA in plants. snoR66 has been alternatively named snoZ269 in rice. The record is from Rfam by way of RNAcentral. Lineage: Eukaryota; Viridiplantae; Streptophyta; Magnoliopsida; Lamiales; Phrymaceae.